RNAcentral lists this unclassified non-coding RNA (203 nucleotides) under Hevea brasiliensis (rubber tree). The record is from RNAcentral. Lineage: Eukaryota; Viridiplantae; Streptophyta; Magnoliopsida; Malpighiales; Euphorbiaceae.
GUAAGGAAAUACAAUUCUUCUUGGUUUCCAAUUCAUAGAAUAGAGCUGCACAAAACAACUACCAACAACUGGGUAUGAUACUUUUGUUGUCUACAUAUUUAAUUGUUUCAUUUGUGUGGCAAUGUUUCAGUUCUUGGCUGUGUCUGGGUUCUCUUUUUUUUUCUUGGGAGAAAGCAGGUCCUGUUUUGCAUUAUAAUGACACA